UACGUAGGUGGCAAGCGUUGUCCGGAAUUAUUGGGCGUAAAGCGCGCGCAGGCGGUUUCUUAAGUCUGAUGUGAAAGCCCCCGGCUCAACCGGGGAGGGUCAUUGGAAACUGGGAAACUUGAGUGCAGAAGAGGAAAGUGGAAUUCCAAGUGUAGCGGUGAAAUGCGUAGAGAUUUGGAGGAACACCAGUGGCGAAGGCGACUUUCUGGUCGGUAACUGACGCUGAGGCGCGAAAGCGUGGGGAGCAAACAGG
This 253-nucleotide ribosomal RNA is filed under the name uncultured bacterium. RNAcentral's name for it is "partial 16S ribosomal RNA". It matches the Rfam family "Bacterial small subunit ribosomal RNA", at positions 524 to 776 of the family's 1533-position model. The record is from RNAcentral.